RNAcentral lists this long non-coding RNA (551 nucleotides) under Homo sapiens (human). Its description in RNAcentral is "long non-coding RNA NONHSAT196378.1". The record is from RNAcentral. Lineage: Eukaryota; Metazoa; Chordata; Mammalia; Primates; Hominidae.
UGAUAAUAUGGGUCAAGAAGUCAUAACUCUGGAGAGACCACUAAGAUGUAGCAGCUGUUGUUGUCCCUGCUGCCUUCAGGAGAUUAAAUCUCUUGAUGAACAGUGUGUGGUUGGCAAAAUUUCCAAGCACUGGACUGGAAUUUUGAGAGAGGCAUUUACAGACGCUGAUAACUUUGGAAUCCAGUUCCCUUUAGACCUUGAUGUUAAAAUGAAAGCUGUAAUGAUUGGUGCCUGUUUCCUCAUUGACUUCAUGUUUUUUGAAAGCACUGGCAGCCAGGAACAAAAAUCAGGAGUGUGGUAGUGGAUUAGUGAAAGUCUCCUCAGGAAAUCUGAAGUCUGUAUAUUGAUUGAGACUAUCUAAACUCAUACCUGUAUGAAUUAAGCUGUAAGGCCUGUAGCUCUGGUUGUAUACUUUUGCUUUUCAAAUUAUAGUUUAUCUUCUGUAUAACUGAUUUAUAAAGGUUUUUGUACAUUUUUUAAUACUCAUUGUCAAUUUGAGAAAAAGGACAUAUGAGUUUUUGCAUUUAUUAAUGAAACUUCCUUUGAAAAAC